RNAcentral lists this transfer RNA (407 nucleotides) under Eplumula phalangium. RNAcentral's name for it is "partial 16S large subunit ribosomal RNA". It matches the Rfam family "Bacterial large subunit ribosomal RNA", at positions 1914 to 2597 of the family's 2925-position model. Lineage: Eukaryota; Metazoa; Arthropoda; Malacostraca; Decapoda; Latreilliidae. The record is from RNAcentral.
AAAGUUUAAAGGGCCGCGGUAUUUUAACCGUGCAAAGGUAGCAUAAUAAUUAGUCUUUUAAUUGGAGGCUUGAAUGAAUGGUUGAACAAAUAAAUGAUUGUCUCUUUUUUAAAUUUUGAAUUUAACUUUUAAGUGAGAAGGCUUAAAUAAUUCAAGGGGACGAUAAGACCCUAUAAAUCAUUGUAUUGGGGUGAUAAAAGUAUAAAUUGUAACUGCUUAUAUUUGAAUACUUGUGAUGUUUGUAAUGAUCCUUUUUAAGAUUUUAAGAUUAAGUUACUUUAGGGAUAACAGCGUUAUUUUUUUUAAGAGUUCUUAUCGAAAAAAAAGUUUGCGACCUCGAUGUUGAAUUAAAAUUUCUUUAUAAUGUAGCCGUUAUAGAAGAAGGUCUGUUCGACCUUUAAUAUUUU